GAAGGGCCUUCUUUUUCCUCUCCACUCCUGCUCCAGCGGCAAGAUGUGAUCCACUGGCAUGGAAGGACACCAAUAAGGCAUCCGAUAAGAUAAGUCUUAUAAAAUAUAUAGGUUUAUGAUAGUUAAGACUGAGAUAACAGAUGAGAAUCCUAGUCAUUGGCCAUACAGCAUUGUACCUAAUAUAAGUUUCUGUGUAUUCAUUUGGGCCUAACUCGGGCGGGCGGCUGACGUAAAGCUCACACGUGGCGGUGGGGCUCAGGUGGUUUUGGCAGAAAGAUUUAUCAUAACAGAUGCCCAUGUCAGCCAGGGCAUCUUCACCUUGUCUCAUCCCCCUGCCAGCUGAGGAACACACGUAGAGCCUUGGGGAAGAGUUAAUGAGUAUAUAGGCUGGGUAGUCUUUGUCAUCAAAUUAAGGAUUUGUUCUUUCUUUUUAGAGAAUGAAACACUGCUGGACUUUAAAGAAUUACAUACCCUUCUGAGGUAUACAUUGAAUGUAAAGUGUGCUAAAAGAUUGUAGAGGCAGCACAAGAGAUAGCAGUUCAAUGAGUGUUGUAACCCAUCUUUGUGGGGCCUUCAUUUAGAUCCAGCUGACUUUCCUGGUUUGUUCCUGAGAUGGGGAGUGUGGAUUGAGAAAUGGCUGAGUUAUGUAACCAAAAAUACCUGAGAUUGGUCAUUUAUAAGGACUGAAGUGUUUUGUCACAGUUCUGAAGGCUGGACCUUCCAAGGUUCUACUUGCUGUCAUUUCAACCUGGUCCCCCAAACAUCUCUUUUUAUAGUUAAUUCGAUGGAUUGAAAGUGAUGUGUUUCUCAUCAUUGAUGAGUUGGGAGCACGGACUUCAGGUUUAGCAUGCUCCCCAUUGGUACCUGUGAAGCUUCCUGUUGGCUGGUCUAGAAGCCCACUGCCAGGAUGUGGAGGAAGGUGUGAGUACGCCAGUCACCUCCAUUUUUCUGACUCAACAUGUGGCCCCUGUUGGACCUCCAUCCUAAAGGAAGUUUCAUGCCCCUUGCUGGAUCUGCCAACUGAACAUAACAUAACAAGAUGCAAGAAACAAAAAAUGCACAGACUGUCAUAUCAAGGUUGGAUGAGAUAACCCAAUAAGAGGAAAAGGGUCCCAAGAACAGGCAAAAGAGUCAGAAAAACCCUAAGUCCCACUAUUGAUACAAUGCCAUUUAUAAAAUUUUGAUUUAAAAAUUAAGAAAAAAUCUAGAGAAGGGAGGUUAAUGAGGAGGAUUUAAAUUAGAAAAUUAAUUAAUUCAAAGAGGAUCAAGAUGACCUAAAGAAGUAGAAAUGAAACAGAAAAACAAAGGAUCAGGGCUUACCCAAUUUUGACAAAAUAGUGGCUCU
This 1345-nucleotide long non-coding RNA is filed under the name Cricetulus griseus (Chinese hamster). RNAcentral's name for it is "lncRNA (ENSCGRG00015036986.1)". Lineage: Eukaryota; Metazoa; Chordata; Mammalia; Rodentia; Cricetidae. The record is from RNAcentral.